CAAAAGAAAGAGAGUUCAUAAACAUAUAAAACAUUUUCAGAAGAAGAGUAGAAAUGAAUUCCAGCAACAACAAUGGUCCAGGAUUGAGCAAGAAUGAAAGUUUGAUUCCCAAAGGAAAGCAGCAUGUUUCAACAAUGAUAGGAAAGAAAAUGGCUGAGGCUGCGAAGAAUGUAGCAAAAUCGGCAGUCACGGCUGCCAAGAAGCACAACGACAAGGCAAAGAUAAAUGCCGGUAACUAGAAUUCUGGAUGAGCAUAGUACCAAAUUCGAAAGCUAUAGUUUUUUAUUGUCAUGUUUGUAUAAUGUAAUAUAUAUACAUGUAACAUAGGAAUAACAGUGAUAAAAUGACGUGUGUGUGUGUGUGUGUGUGUGU
RNAcentral lists this long non-coding RNA (372 nucleotides) under Olea europaea (common olive). Its description in RNAcentral is "long non-coding RNA (OEUR_LNC002678)". The record is from RNAcentral. Lineage: Eukaryota; Viridiplantae; Streptophyta; Magnoliopsida; Lamiales; Oleaceae.